UGGGGUAUAGCUCAGUGGUAGCGUACUCACCUUGCACACAGGAGGCUUGGGUUCAAUCUCCAGCACUACAA
RNAcentral lists this transfer RNA (71 nucleotides) under Mus musculus (house mouse). Its description in RNAcentral is "tRNA-Ala". Lineage: Eukaryota; Metazoa; Chordata; Mammalia; Rodentia; Muridae. The record is from RNAcentral.